Long non-coding RNA from Triticum dicoccoides, 240 nucleotides. RefSeq lists it as uncharacterized. The transcript is spliced from 3 exons. Lineage: Eukaryota; Viridiplantae; Streptophyta; Magnoliopsida; Poales; Poaceae. The record is from RefSeq and is a predicted model, not a curated record.
AAAUUGUACAAUGUUUCCUUUUCUGGAACUUUAGGGGCCUGAUCAAUUGAACAAGUAUAUUGGGGAGAGUGAAUCAGAUGUAAGGAAAAUAUGAACCCGUGCAAGCACUAACUCACCAUACAUCCUAUUUUUUUGAGGUAAAACUAAGUAGUUGUGGCAGCUUUGGAUGAGAGAACCCAAUUCCUGGUACAGUAAAAUGCCAACACAUAUAUGAUUGAUGUUAUGGCAGUAUACUUGACU